AAACUGCGAUAAGUAGUGUGAAUUGCAUUUAGUGAAUCAUCGAAUCUUUGAACGCACCCUGCACUCACUGGUAUUCCGGUGAGUACGCCUGGUUCAGUAUCAUUGAAAACACACAAUCAAAACAUUUUCUUUGGUUUGAUUGGCUUUGGGUCUAUCAAAAAGUUUGGCUUGUUUCUUACAAGCCAAGCGGCCUGAAAUAUAUUGUCUGGCUAAUUGCAUCGUUGAUGAUCGCUAUUAGACUUUGGCUUUUUUAAAUGAACUGGAGGUUGAUUAACCAGUUUUAGCUUUAGUCAAAUGGUCAUUGUAAAAAAAAUCUCGAUCUUGGCUAGGUGUUUAUAGCCGAAAAUUUUUUUUUGGCUAUAACCGAAACCAAUAUAAUCACAUUUAGUUAUCGAUCUGAAAUCAGGUGGGACUACCCGCUGAACUUAAGC
RNAcentral lists this unclassified non-coding RNA (431 nucleotides) under plant metagenome. RNAcentral describes it as "partial contains 5.8S ribosomal RNA, internal transcribed spacer 2, and large subunit ribosomal RNA". The stretch from base 1 to 102 matches the Rfam family "5.8S ribosomal RNA", at positions 50 to 154 of the family's 154-position model. The record is from RNAcentral.